RNAcentral lists this long non-coding RNA (1073 nucleotides) under Salmo salar (Atlantic salmon). Its description in RNAcentral is "lncRNA (ENSSSAG00000107933.1, ENSSSAG00020077858.1, ENSSSAG00075061654.1)". Lineage: Eukaryota; Metazoa; Chordata; Actinopteri; Salmoniformes; Salmonidae. The record is from RNAcentral.
GUAAACACCUAUCUCAAGUGCAAUUGUACUUUUCCCAUUGAAGUUGUCAUGAGUGCCCGCAAUGGUUUAAGCCACAUUCAUUGCAUUAUUGGCCAAUUAUAUUUACUGUUCUUCAAUGAGGGACGUAAUGAAUGGCCAAUGCUCAGUCACUCAUCUCUGAAUAGAAUACCGGUUACCAGGGAUACCGAGAGAGGAGAGAGGUAUUUUGAAUGACGUCAAUAUGCAUUGAUACUCUAUUAUCGACAAUAAUGACUUCCCCGGGACCAUACGCGCAUGAUAAGAGGUCUAUUCUGAAGUAGGACGAGGAGGUGCUCGUGCUGAGGAAAAGACAGCUUCUGUAGGACUAGUCCACACAGGUCGAGAAACCAGUAAGAGCAGAAGAGAGAACCCAGCGGUGGAGCAAACCAAACAUGCAUAUGAAGGAUGAAGCAUCACAGUGAAAAUGCCUGAGGGAGCAGGCGUAAUCUAAUUUGGAUUUAGAGACUAUUAUUAGAAAGCAUUAACUAUUGUACUAGACUAAUUGCCUCUCGCGUUCAUAGAGAUGAUGGUUAAGUUUAAUUAAGUUGGUUAACGCCAAGCGCUUGACAGAUUCCUUCGUUGCACAAGGUCAGGUAUGCUGUGCUCUCUAGAAAGCAGUGGUUAGUUGGUACCUACAGGAGGGAAACCCGCUUCAAGUAUUCAUAAGAAUUUGAGCCCUUCUAAAUCUGUGUCCUAAACCGAUUAGUUGACACCAACUUUUCUUUGUUGUAUUAGCUGUGGGCUUUUGCCACUUGGAAGCCAAUUGAAAUUCAAAACAGUUUCGCUCCCAAUGCUUUGGGGAGAUCUGCUGCAAAUAAUGGAUGCUAUUUAUUUUUGACCUUGCAUUUUUUUUAAAUGAAAUGAUUAAACAUACGUGCACUGCGUCCCUCAACUGAACAACUGCACUGAAUUUGCGGAUCCUAUUGCUGACAAUAGCAAUUCAUUUGUAGGUGGCGCAACAUUAUUGUGGCUAUAAAACCUACUAACUAGUUGUAAAAGUAUUAGUGAUUGAAUCAUCACUACUGCUAUUUAUCUGGUGUCAUAAGAUGUUUUGG